This 169-nucleotide unclassified non-coding RNA is filed under the name plant metagenome. RNAcentral describes it as "partial contains small subunit ribosomal RNA, internal transcribed spacer 1, and 5.8S ribosomal RNA". The record is from RNAcentral.
UUUCCGUAGGUGAACCUGCGGAAGGAUCAUUAACAAGUCCUGCUGUGCGUGCGGAGCAGUCUGCAUGCGCACAUCCGUUCCAUGUGCCCCGCACAUGACAUUUCUGCGAAUCGUCUGAUUGGCGCUCUUCAAACCAUACAAACUUUUAACAAUGGAUCUCUAGGCUCUU